This 544-nucleotide ribosomal RNA is filed under the name uncultured archaeon. RNAcentral's name for it is "bacterial SSU rRNA". It matches the Rfam family "Archaeal small subunit ribosomal RNA", at positions 25 to 571 of the family's 1478-position model. The record is from RNAcentral.
UACUGCUAUCAGUGUUCGAUUAAGCCAUGCGAGUUAAAUGUUCUUCGUGAACAUGGCGUACUGCUCAGUAACACGUGGAUAACCUGCCCUAAGGUCCGGCAUAACCCCGGGAAACUGGGGAUAAUACCGGAUAAACCAUAGAUACUGGAAUGUUCUGUGGUUAAAAGUUCCGGCGCCUUAGGAUGGAUCUGCGGCCUAUCAGGUAGUAGUGGGUGUAAAGUACCUACUAGCCGACGACGGGUACGGGUUGUGAGAGCAAGAGCCCGGAGAUGGAUUCUGAGACAUGAAUCCAGGCCCUACGGGGCGCAGCAGGCGCGAAACCUUUACAAUGCGGGAAACCGCGAUAAGGGGACACUGAGUGCCAGCAUAUUAUGUUGGCUGUCCACCUGUAUAAAUCACAGGUGUUAGCAAGGGCCGGGCAAGACCGGUGCCAGCCGCCGCGGUAACACCGGCGGCCCGAGUGGUAGCCACUAUUAUUGGGUCUAAAGGGUCCGUAGCCGGUUUGAUCAGUCUUCCGGGAAAUCUGACAGCUCAACUGUUAGGC